RNAcentral lists this ribosomal RNA (330 nucleotides) under uncultured eukaryote. Its description in RNAcentral is "partial 18S ribosomal RNA". It matches the Rfam family "Eukaryotic small subunit ribosomal RNA", at positions 1470 to 1796 of the family's 1831-position model. The record is from RNAcentral.
CCCUUAGAUGUCCGGGGCUGCACGCGCGCUACACUGUAGAAAGCAGCGUGCUUUAAAACCUUUCCUGAAAAGGAUGGGUAACCCCAGCAAAAUUCUACGUGCUUGGGUUAGAGAUUUGCAAUUUUCUCUCUUGAACGAGGAAUUCCCAGUAAGUGCGAGUCAUCAGCUCGCGUUGAUUACGUCCCUGCCCUUUGUACACACCGCCCGUCGCUACUACCGAUUGGGAAAAUUUUAGAGAGUCCUGGACUGAUGAUUGUUCGGCUUCACGGCCUUACUUUCGUCGGGAAAGAAUUCGAUAAUAUUUUUCUAGAGGAAGUAAAAGUCGUAACA